CUACAGGGAAAACAACAUUCAUUAAGCAUCUGCUGAAGACAAGCUACCCAGGAGCUCAUGUCGGACCAGAGCCUACUACUGACAAAUUCGUAGUUGUCAUGCUUAUGAGAGUGUAUGGUGCGCUGAUGUGGUCUCGUGGAAAAGUGCUAAAUACUCCUGAGGUUGUGCGUGUGUACAAUGGGCUGUCAAGGAAAUACGAUACAACUUUCUGGCUGGUUUUGCGGUGGGGCUGUAAAAUUUAAUUUGCAACUUGAAGGGUACAAACAAGGGUUAUACUAGCAGUGAACAGCCCAUAUGUGGUUGGGGGCAACCAUUACGGCAUCGUCG
Setaria italica (foxtail millet) is the source of this 327-nucleotide long non-coding RNA. RefSeq lists it as uncharacterized. NCBI's taxonomy places the organism in Eukaryota, Viridiplantae, Streptophyta, Magnoliopsida, Poales, Poaceae. The transcript is spliced from 5 exons. The record is from RefSeq and is a predicted model, not a curated record.